This 216-nucleotide ribosomal RNA is filed under the name Glomeromycotina sp. Its description in RNAcentral is "partial small subunit ribosomal RNA". The stretch from base 40 to 216 matches the Rfam family "Eukaryotic small subunit ribosomal RNA", at positions 686 to 864 of the family's 1831-position model. The record is from RNAcentral. Lineage: Eukaryota; Fungi; Glomeromycota.
GGGUCAGUAGGUUGGUCGUGUCACUGGUACGUACUGGUCUCACUGAUUCCUCCUUCCUGAAGAACCGUAAUGCCAUUAAUUUGGUGUUGCGGGGAAACAGGACUGUUACUUUGAAAAAAUUAGAGUGUUUAAAGCAAGCUAACGCUUGAAUACAUUAGCAUGGAAUAAUGAAAUAGGACGAUCGAUCCUAUUUUGUUGGUUUCUAGGAUUGACGUA